CCUACGGGGGACAGCAGUAGGGAAUAUUGCUCAAUGGGGGAAACCCUGAAGCAGCAACGCCGCGUGGAGGAUGAAGGUUUUAGGAUUGUAAACUCCUUUUGUUAGAGAAGAUUAUGACGGUAUCUAACGAAUAAGCACCGGCUAACUCCGUGCCAGCAGCCGCUGUAAUACGGAGGGUGCAAGCGUUACUCGGAAUCACUGGGCGUAAAGAGUGCGUAGGCGGGGUAAUAAGUCAGAUGUGAAAUCCUGUAGCUUAAAUACAGAACUGCAUUUGAAACUGUUACUCUGGAGUGUGAGAGAGGUAGGUGGAAUUCUUGGUGUAGGGGUAAAAUGCGUAGAGAUAAAGAGGAAUACUCAUUGCGAAGGCGGCCUGCUGGAACAUUACUGACGCUGAUGCACGAAAGCGUGGGGAGCAAACAGGAUUAGAUACCCUUGUAGUC
RNAcentral lists this ribosomal RNA (440 nucleotides) under uncultured bacterium. Its description in RNAcentral is "partial 16S ribosomal RNA". It matches the Rfam family "Bacterial small subunit ribosomal RNA", at positions 338 to 795 of the family's 1533-position model. The record is from RNAcentral.